Molecule: long non-coding RNA, 445 nt
Filed under: Phoenix dactylifera (date palm)
Lineage: Eukaryota; Viridiplantae; Streptophyta; Magnoliopsida; Arecales; Arecaceae
Description: long non-coding RNA (PDAC_LNC013135)
Source: RNAcentral
AAGUUUUAGGGGCAAAAUGGGAAUUUAAUAAUAUUAAACAAAGGGUGAAUAGUGUCUUGAUGUGAUUUAAUUGGAGGGUUUGAGCUGGCUUUUGGAAUGAAACCGAGAGAAAGAGGGAGGGGGUUCUCAGGCGUGAAACAGACGAAAGAAAGAAAGAAAAAGAGAAGAAGAAGAAGAAGAAAGAAGAAGAGGAAGGAGAUUCAAGGAGGAAAGGGAUCCCGGUUGCACUUCCAGCUGAAGGGAAAAACGUAGAUCUCCUUCCCCUCUACGCAAGGACCUCGAUUUCCAAAAAGAAAAAGGUAAAUAUCCAUCCCUAUCUAGUCUUUUGAUGACAUUAGGCUAUACAAAGGGUGGAUAUAGUCUAGAGGGGUCGGAUAAGGGUUGUAGAGGUGGUUAAAAGAAGAAGAAUCGGAUUUUGACAAAUUUUUCCGGCACUACGGAAAAA